AGCCAUGUGAUGAACACAGAGCGAACUAUUCUUUCGCCUUUUACUAAAGAAUACCGUGUGUUCGUUACAAUUAAUGGCAUACUCUUAUUUUUGGAGGGUGUUUUCUCCUAAACACCC
This 117-nucleotide small nuclear RNA is filed under the name Ipomoea nil (Japanese morning glory). RNAcentral's name for it is "U5 spliceosomal RNA". It matches the Rfam family "U5 spliceosomal RNA". Rfam says of the family: U5 RNA is a component of both types of known spliceosome. The record is from Rfam by way of RNAcentral. Lineage: Eukaryota; Viridiplantae; Streptophyta; Magnoliopsida; Solanales; Convolvulaceae.